Molecule: unclassified non-coding RNA, 654 nt
Filed under: Hevea brasiliensis (rubber tree)
Lineage: Eukaryota; Viridiplantae; Streptophyta; Magnoliopsida; Malpighiales; Euphorbiaceae
Source: RNAcentral
AGCUUAUUCACAUCUAGUAUUCUAGAUGACAUGAAGAACAAGCCUUUCUUGCUCAAAACACAUAAGAAAAUUGUUUGAACCUACAGUACGUAAAUGAGAUCUCAAGCAUAUAGAGACCCUGAAAUGACUAGCAUCCUUUUCAAUUAAUUACUUUUCAAUGAAAUAUUCACAAAGUGUUGUAGGACAACUUGCAAGCUUGGUUAUUUACACUAGAAAAAUGGGUAAACCAGAAUUUGAAGCCAACAAAUAAAAAUAGCUAGACAGAAAAAUAGCAGAAGGAAAGCAGAAGUAGAACAUAUUGGAGAAUUCCAUCACCAAUUUCUUCAAACUUCCUGAUCACAACCCAGACACAAAAAUAGAACAGAAAAGUAAGAGAGAGAGAAGAAAAAGAAGAGGAAGAAGAAAUUAGAACUGAAAUUUUGCAUGCAACAAUUCCAAAACCACUGCUUGGUUGCAGAGGUACUAGCUGAAAAAUAGAACUGAAAUUGGGCACAAACAAAAGCAUACAUAGAGCUAACCUGAAGGGAAGCCAACUCUCCAAUUGCCUCCGUUGGAAUCAAUCGACAUUCAUGAAUUGAGAAAGGGAAGAUAAGAGAAGGCCGAGACGUAGAAGAAGAGAACGUUUGAGCGGAGUUAAAUAUCCAGUUCUCAAAU